Molecule: ribosomal RNA, 467 nt
Filed under: uncultured bacterium
Lineage: Bacteria
Description: partial 16S ribosomal RNA
Rfam family: Bacterial small subunit ribosomal RNA
Source: RNAcentral
GAUGAACGCUGACAGAAUGCUUAACACAUGCAAGUCAACUUGAAUUUGGGUUUUUAACUUAGGUUUGGGUGGCGGACGGGUGAGUAACGCGUAAAGAACUUGCCUCACAGCUAGGGACAACAUUUGGAAACGAAUGCUAAUACCUAAUAUUAUGAUAAUAGGGCAUCCUAUAAUUAUGAAAGCUAUAAGCGCUGUGAGAGAGCUUUGCGUCCCAUUAGCUAGUUGGUGAGGUAACGGCUAACCAAGGCGAUGAUGGGUAGCCGGCCUGAGAGGGUGAUCGGCCACAAGGGGACUGAGACACGGCCCUUACUCCUACGGGAGGCAGCAGUGGGGAAUAUUGGACAAUGGACCGAGAGUCUGAUCCAGCAAUUCUGUGUGCAAGAUGAAGUUUUUCGGAAUGUAAAGUGCUUUCAGUUGGGAAGAAACAAAUGACGGUACCAACAGAAGAAGUGACGGCUAAAUACGUG